GACGAACGCUGGCGGCGCGCCUAACACAUGCAAGUCGAACGGAGUCAAGAGGAGCUUGCUUUUCUUGACUUAGUGGCGAACGGGUGAGUAACGCGUGAGUAACCUGCCCUGGAGUGGGGGACAACAGUUGGAAACGACUGCUAAUACCGCAUAAGCCCACGGAUCUGCAUGGAUCUGCGGGAAAAGGAUUUAUUCGCUUUAGGAUGGACUCGCGUCCAAUUAGCUAGUUGGUGAGGUAACGGCCCACCAAGGCGACGAUUGGUAGCCGGACUGAGAGGUUGAACGGCCACAUUGGGACUGAGACACGGCCCAGACUCCUACGGGAGGCAGCAGUGGGGGAUAUUGCACAAUGGGGGAAACCCUGAUGCAGCGACGCCGCGUGGAGGAAGAAGGUUUUCGGAUUGUAAACUCCUGUCGUUAGGGACGAUAAUGACGGUACCUAACAAGAAAGCACCAGCUAACUACGUG
This 468-nucleotide ribosomal RNA is filed under the name uncultured bacterium. RNAcentral describes it as "partial 16S ribosomal RNA". It matches the Rfam family "Bacterial small subunit ribosomal RNA", at positions 28 to 507 of the family's 1533-position model. The record is from RNAcentral.